UACGUAGGGCGCAAGCGUUGUCCGGAAUUAUUGGGCGUAAAGAGCUCGUAGGCGGUCUGUCGCGUCGGAUGUGAAAGCCCGGGGCUUAACCCCGGGUCUGCAUUCGAUACGGGCAGACUAGAGUGUGGUAGGGGAGAUCGGAAUUCCUGGUGUAGCGGUGAAAUGCGCAGAUAUCAGGAGGAACACCGGUGGCGAAGGCGGAUCUCUGGGCCAUUACUGACGCUGAGGCACGAAGGCCAGGGGAGCAAACGGG
RNAcentral lists this ribosomal RNA (253 nucleotides) under uncultured bacterium. Its description in RNAcentral is "partial 16S ribosomal RNA". It matches the Rfam family "Bacterial small subunit ribosomal RNA", at positions 524 to 776 of the family's 1533-position model. The record is from RNAcentral.